CCGUACAGCCCUCCUUGGGCGUUUCCUCCCUAGACUUGGGCCGCUGCCGAAAGGUCAGCGGCCUCUUUCUUUUGUGCGC
The sequence is a small RNA, 79 nucleotides long. It matches the Rfam family "Makes More Granules Regulator RNA (mmgR)". Rfam says of the family: SuhB later renamed mmgR (makes more granules regulator) was a putative non-coding RNA found multiple times in the Agrobacterium tumefaciens genome and related alpha-proteobacteria. Other non-coding RNAs uncovered in the same analysis include: speF, ybhL, metA, and serC. Several studies inSinorhizobium meliloti showed that suhB element is indeed a non-coding RNA:firstly it was detected on Northern blot and called Sm8RNA, secondly in an RNAseq study referred to as SmelC689. The record is from Rfam.